Sorghum bicolor (sorghum) is the source of this 1170-nucleotide RNA transcript. RefSeq lists it as uncharacterized. Lineage: Eukaryota; Viridiplantae; Streptophyta; Magnoliopsida; Poales; Poaceae. The record is from RefSeq and is a predicted model, not a curated record. The transcript has 5 exons.
AACUGGGACAUUUUUUUUUGGUGCGGCUUUGGUUUCGUCAGCCUGCCUCCCCACGCCAUGAGCCUGGGCGAGAGCAAUCCCCUCCCCCUUUCCUAUUGCGUCCGCGUGAGCGCCGUGAUCGAUCCCCGCGCCCGAUCCCCUUCCUGGACGAGAGCGGCCGCGUCCCGAUCCCCUCCCUGCACGAGAGCGAUCUCGCGCCCUGAUCCCCUCCGUGGACGACCUUCGGGACCGCCGCCACCUCCCUAGAUGACCGCGGCCACGAGCGUCCGCGCUCGCACCGUCGGGCCCUGGAGCAGCCGCGACCCGAUCCCCUCCCUGGACGACCGCCGAGACCGCGGCCAUGGACGACCGUCGCGACCGCGGCCACAAGCGUCUGCGCUCGCACUGUCUGUCCCUGGAGCGGCCGCGCCCCGAUCGAUUCGUUCUCGCACCGUCGCCAGCCAUUGCCCUUGCCCUCACGCCACCCUUGCGAAUCCUCGUCCUCACCCUCGUGCCGCAGUCACCAGCCAUUGCCCUCGUGGACUCCGAUGUGGCAAUGGUCGACUGCAACGCCGAGUGGGCGGCCCUUGCUGCCAUGGCCACCACAGUGCCAGCUCCCGCACCCAUCCAGGCAAUCACAAUUCAACAGAGGGAGGGCAUGGAAACAUUUUGGAUGGAGCUACCAAGGUUGAUACUACUCUUUAGAAUUACAAAUCUCUCAAGCUUGUGCAGCACAGAUCCAUGCAUGGGAUGCCAUCCGCGAGCACCGUCACCUCCCGUCCCUAUCUGGUUGUCUAUCUGGCGCUUGUGGUGGAGGCCGAGACUGUAGCUGCUGCAACGGAGGACGAUGGUAUCCCCAUGGUGGACCUGCUGUCACUGUGCGACCACCACGACCCUUAAGGCCUUCGAGCUUAGCUCGGAGUCACUCCAGACAUUCACGAUCCAUAGAUGCCCGCUCUAUUCUCGUUUGAUUUCUUUUUUAUAUAUGUUUCAUCAGGUGAAUUCAUGAUCGUCCUGGUCAGAAUUUCGCUACUAUUGCUGCUCAUCGUGGCUCGUCUUCCGCAUCCAUGUCUUGACUGCCUCCAUCAUAUUUGUAAGCCAACGAUGUUGUGCUCUCUGUAACUGUGAUUUCACGAUGAUUUUUAAUUAAAUGUCACUUUAACAUCAGUAUUUAAUUUCAUAACAUUAUUA